Molecule: long non-coding RNA, 5160 nt
Organism: Schistocerca gregaria
Lineage: Eukaryota; Metazoa; Arthropoda; Insecta; Orthoptera; Acrididae
Exons: 5
Source: RefSeq, a predicted model, not a curated record
AUUCUGUGCAGAUCCAAUGUUUACGAUAUUGAGUUGCUGCUCCACCUGGCAUAGCUGGAGAGUUUUUCUGGCGAUACAAGAAUAAUAUCCGAGAUGAUUGCUGAAUAUGCGCCAGCAUGACUUCCAUAACUUCCAAAUGAUAUCAGCGUCUUAAAGGAGUGGUGGCGCAAAGACCCAAAAUCACAAAGAACAAAGAUAAGGACAGGACGUAGAAGGAGUGUAUUACAUCCUUCUAAGAAGGAAACUGGUUACACUUCUAAUCCGUUUGAAACAAGAACUUUGGACCAGUGAACACAGACUUGGAUGGCUCUCUAAUCGUAAGAGUUGGCAGCCUACAUUGAAGGUGCAGCCCAUCAGUGCAGGGCAGUUUUCUGUUUCGGCGCAGUCUCUGAAAGAACACGAUCUGUGAUUUUUGCCGCAGCAAGAUCGUGCUAAUUAAACACAAGGGGCAACAUGAAACUGGAGAUAAGUAACACAGUGGUUCAAGUCUACAAUUCCCUUUGGACAUGAAUGAAUUAGUCUGUGAAAUCAGAGCUCCCUGUCUCUCUUUGCUGGCAAUAAUAUGCAGAGUGAUUUCAGUCAUGAGUCAUGGCCAAUCACUUUCUAUCAUGGCAUGCAAACAGAAGAAAUGAAGAAAACUAAUCACUCCACCGAAACGAGCAAGACUCUUAAGUUAUGCCUCAGCAAGGGACACAAAUAGUGUUGAGGUAUGCAUUACUGGUCUACUCAAUGGCAACAAAAUUAAAUGAUUGUUUCAAAUGGGAAGUCAGUUUCAUUGUGUAACCAGGAAAUUUAGUCAGUUCUACUAACAAUACUCUGGAACAGAUAACUGUAUUUUAAGGGAGGAACUAUCAGUUUAGUUACUGCAGCGGAACUGAAAUUUUCUGUAAUUUGCGCGGAUUUAAGUUUAAGAGUUUAGUACUCAUAUAGGGCCUACUGACAUUUCCAAAAUCCAAAUGUAAGUUUGAAAGUGGAUGUAAACAGUGAAUUACACAGUAGCUUUGGGUGAUUAGUAUAUGGUACUCUUCCAUUAUACAGUGGCUACUAUGCAGUAAAGUUAAGUAAACUAUCUUGGUGAAGUUCGCAAGGUGAAACAUUGCUAAAACCUUCCAAGAGGUAGUGUUAAUAUAUAUUUUCAGUCAGUGAGUUGCAUAGGAGAAAUAUUGGUGGAAACACAGCAUACCAGCAUUCAGGUUCUUUAAGAUUAGUUGGAGACAAAAGUUUUAAAAAUUUUCAUUUACACAAAGGGGCGCAUAAGGCAAUCAUUUCUCUCUCAGCUAUUCAUAAACAAUUUUCUAGCCUUUGCACUUAUACCAUAUCCAUCAAGGUGUUAAGAUUCCUGCUUAUGACCUAAUAUGUAUGCAUGUGUGCAACAGUGACUGCUGUUGUUAUUUCUUUAGAUUAUAUAAUUCAACCUGAAUAUCUAUUUAUUAGUUUUAACUGCACUUUCAUAAUAUUUAAACAUUCACGAGCAAACAAUCAAACUGAAGAUUUUGAAUUAUUAUCAUACGGCAUUCAGCAUAAGCCAUUGAGACUGGUGAUACGCACAAUUUUUCAGAAAAAGGAAUUAUUCUAUUGUCAUAAAGUACUCCCUGUUGUAAGACUUCUGAGAAAAUUCAUAUAAAAUAAAGACACCUCCAGCAGCCCUGGACUGCUAAAAUUGCAUUAAUAAAUGUAAGGCACUAUGAGCACUUAGGUCUGUUUUUAGCAGGAUAAGAAAGAUUUAUCUUAACAAAACAAGGCAAAACUAUUUUCAUUACAAAUACUCAGAAAAAUAUUUGGCAAUUAUGCAUUAUAACUGUUUUACUAGUAAAGAUGACUUCAAUAAUAAGACAAUGUGUGGGUGUAUAUUAUUUCUGAAGUUUAUUUUAUCAGAUAAAUUUCUGUCAAUCAGUAAUCUAGUAAGUAAAAAAAGCUAAAUUUAUAGGUUGUUGUGCUUUCUGUUCCCCAGAAACAGUAGGAAUGCAUUUUUAGUUAUAUGGUGUUUGCUUGGCUUGUGGGUGUUGCAAUGAACACCUCUCUUGAUAUUUUGUCAAGGGCUGAAAUAUUUCACCUCAUUGUUUUAGAUAGCAGUGUGUGUGUGUGUGUGUGUGUGUGUGUGUGUGUGUGUGUGUGUGUGUGAGAGUGAGAGAGAGAGAGAGAGAGAGAGAGAGAGAAUUUCACUAAUGUAAAAUGUGCUAACUUGACUUUCACAAAGUUUUUUAAGGUACAGAUGAAAAUUUUUGAAUAUUCUCAUAGCUUACUCGUAGGUUUUAAUAUUAAUUACAGUCCAGUAAUCAUGCAAAAAACAAAUUUUGUAAGGACAACACCAAAAGAAUGUAACUUUCCUCCCUUCCUACCAUGAGCAUAUAUGAGCAAAUAACUGCAACAGACAUCAGAAAAGAAUGUUUACAUGAAGAACAAACAGAACAGAAAACGAUGAAACAAGGGAACAUGGGCAGAUCACGAUUUCAUAUCAACAAAUUACACAGUUAUGGAGAGAAAACCAACACAAGAACUAGAAUGUUUCUUGUACUGUAAACCAUCUUGGGGAGGGGUGUAGGGAGAUAACGCUCAACACAAAAGGCUGCAUCCUCUUACUGUGUGGCAAUGUUUUGAAAAUGAUGAAUACCUAAAAUAGGCAAGAAAUCCACUAUUUUACAUAGACUAAGCUCCAUCUGAACAGGACUUGAAGGCCCACUGGUACUGAGCGGUCACCGUGUUGACCACUCUCCCCACUGCUGUCAGUUUUCACUGCUUCCCAAUCAGGUGACUUCUCAAUUGGCCUAACAACAGCUGGGUGCACUCCGCUUGCCAACAGCUCUCAGCAGACUGGAUGGUGACCCACCCAAGCGCUUAGCCACGCCCGACAGCACCUAACUUCUGUGAUCUGACAGGACCUGUGCUACCACUGGGGCAAGGUCCUUGCUUAAAAUCCUAGUUACCAAUGACACCCAAGCUAUUUUUAGGAGACUUUGGUUUAGAAACAAUGAAGAUAUAUUAGGUAACUCCAGCUUACAUAAAGAACUAUGGGAAAAACAGAUGCAUUAAUCAGCCCUGGAAUCUCUGUGAAGAAAGACAAAGAGCAGGAAUAAGUAUAACUAUCACAUAAAUAAAACAACACAAUAAGCCAUUAAAUUGAUAAAGUAUUCAUCUGGAAAAUGAUUGCAAUACAGUUAACAAGAUGUUUCUAUCAUCUGGAGUAAAAAAAUGUAUUAAAAAUAGAAACCCGACAUUCUGCAAGUCUGAAAAUGGCAGUGUCAUUUCCAAAGUAAGUCAAGUGUUUCAAACAAAAGAGAAAAAACGAACAUCUCCUACCAAUUCACCUGUUUAAAUCUUAACCAAAGAGUCUUGUGUAAUCGAGAACAAACACGGAAAAUGUUCAUCUCAGCUCUGUUUCAGUCACUAUGACAUAAUAGAUUAUAGUGGCAACCUAGCUGAAAUUAAGGUAGAUGAAUAUCAAUAGCACACACCUUUAUGAAGAAAAAGAAGAAAUCUGUAUAUUGCUGUUCACCUCUUUUCACUCAGUUUUAUCUGUUACCUUAUCAACAGUACUGAUUUAUUCCUCCAGAAAUUGUUACAGAUGACAGGACACAAUGCUCUAUGGUAGCAGUAAGACCAGAAAGUAAUGGUCUAAUCCUAACAGAAUAAAAGCAUACCUUGCAAUAGCCAAUAUCUGUUGCACGUCUUGUGCAGCUCAUACCAAGAAUGAAACCCUAAACUUUCAAACAUUGCCUCUCAGAAAGUGACCAGUAGCUGUUACUAAAAAAAGCUUAAAGUAUUUUUCACUCCGUUAAUCAUAAUUUUCCAUCAAAUUUCACACUUUAUGUAAUGUAGUAGUGUCUCAUUUACUUGUAAUUAAAUUGUAACGAAGGACAUUAGAGAAGUUUUUUUAGAAUGAGUUAUGGUACAGAUGAGGAAAUAGUUACUAUGUAUGAGAAAACAGUUUCUGAGAAAUCUCCCUUGAUUGUGUAACUGCAGGGGAGGAAGUCACAUGAAUUCAAUAAGGAAAAUUCCAAUGACAUUUAAAAGAAAGACCAAAAUUGUACACACAGCACUAAGAAGUGCACUAGCAUUGGGCUGAAGACAUUUACAAAUGCCAUCAUAAAUGUCACCAAUAACUAUAAGACAAGCAUCUGUCUUGGGAAACAAUUUCAGCAUAAUGGCACUCUUCACCACAAUUAAUAGCUUAUAUAACGUCUUUCUAGCAAGUUCCUUCUUUUGAGAAUUAUUGUAGUAAAUAAGAUGGCAUGAGGGAUGAGGCAGCCAGUGGUGUGUGUGUGUGUGUGUGUGUCAAAAUGGGAGUGUACACACAUGCGACUAUUCAAAUCUCGGCAAUUGGAGAGAGCGAUUUCUUCCCUCCACUAUCUGGUUCAGGUUAUUACAAAUGUAUGCAAACUUGCAUAAUUCCGACAUCUUCACCUAAAUGUAUUCCAUCAAUAUACUUUUUGAUACCUUGCCACAGAAAUACCGAAUACAAAUAUUUUAUUUCAUUCAUAAUACAUGCUUGAUUUCACUUUUCUUUCAAAGAAAAUCAAAUAACUGCUUUUAAGAAGAUAGCUUCUAGGAGAACAGUUCCUUCAAACAGCUGGAACAGUUAUUACCAAAACUAAACAAUUUGUUUCACCUAUACUCCUAUAUUUUUGAUUUUCAUAAUUAUUUUGCUGAGCAUCGCAAAUACUGUUCAAAAUCAUAGACUCUUGCCAUCCAAUUUAUAGUUCACAAGAAAACUGUAAUAGAAAGACCUAUCAUGAUUCGAACAUAUGAAAGUCUACCAAAUCUGUUUUUAUGCAGUAAUAUUUAUGAGGUAGGUAUUUAAUUUUGAACAUUGAUUAAAUACUUUGUCAAAAACAAAUUGAAAUAUGGUUUAUCUCAACAUAUCAAACUAAAACAGCACAAAGUACUGACAUACUGCAAUGCAACACAAUUCAGAUGCAUAUCAGAAACUUUUUAACUCUAAUCAUUAUUUUAAACUAUCAUUAUCAGGAUCUAAGACAACAUGUGAACAUUAGCUGCCAUAAAUAAGUGUCAAGCAGCUAUUCCACUCAAUUUAAAACCAUUGUAACUAACUUCUAGUAUAAAUGCAUCUCCAAUUUUAAAGAAGGCAUAAUUAUAAGACCACAAGACAAAGUGGAAAAGUUCUGAACACUACUCAUCUUCUCUCCUGCCACCCUCUCCCUC